This 422-nucleotide ribosomal RNA is filed under the name uncultured bacterium. RNAcentral's name for it is "bacterial SSU rRNA". It matches the Rfam family "Bacterial small subunit ribosomal RNA", at positions 355 to 768 of the family's 1533-position model. The record is from RNAcentral.
UGGGGAAUAUUGGGCAAUGGGCGAAAGCCUGACCCAGCGACGCCGCGUGGGUGAUGAAGGCCUUCGGGUUGUAAAGCCCUUUCGUGCGGAAAGAACAGCCCUGUAGUUAAUACCUGCAGGGUUUGACGGUACCGCAGGAAGAAGCACCGGCUAACUCCGUGCCAGCAGCCGCGGUAAUACGGAGGGUGCAAGCGUUGUUCGGAAUUAUUGGGCGUAAAGGGCGCGUAGGUGGUUGUGAUAGUCAGAUGUGAAAUCCUUUGGCUUAACUAAAGAACUGCAUGUGAAAGUUCGAAAGUAGAGGAAAGGAGGGGGAAGCGGAAUUGCCGGUGGAGAGGUGAAAAUCGUAGAUAACGGGAGGAACACCAGGGGCGAAGGCGGUUUCCUGGCCUGAUACUGACACUGAGGCGCGAAAGCGUGGGGGG